GCUAGUUCAAAUUGGAUGAAUUAGCAUAGGAAAGAUGUCCAGGAAACUAAAGACACAAGUGACAGAUGACUUCAUUUAAUAGUAAAUCAAGUAUCCAUGAUACAUUAAUAUACAAUUUCAUUAUGUCACUCAAAUGUUGGUGACAGGGUAAAAAAAGGUCUAUCAAUUGGGACGAGAAUGAACACUCAAAUAUUCACUAACAUUUGACUUGGGGGUACAAGUGUUGGAUCAGCCUAUGAAGGAAAGACUACCAACAUAAAUUUUUUAUCAAUGGAGGCAAUAGAGAUGCACAACCUUGCAAUUUCAUGUGAGACACUGCAAAAUUCGAACUUCUACAAGUAGCUUCUCAAUUGUGUACCCUUUUAACUGACAACCUCAAAUCACACGAUUUCGUACUUUCCCCGCAUCGGCAUUCACAAGGAAGAAGCAUCAUUGCAUCGGUCCCUUUUAACCUCUCUUCCCACCAUUUCAAGAACACAAUCACAAUUGCAGCAACUCGCGCGAAUUCGUCCCUCCCAUUCAAAA
Long non-coding RNA from Syzygium oleosum, 525 nucleotides. RefSeq lists it as uncharacterized. The transcript has 2 exons. The record is from RefSeq and is a predicted model, not a curated record. NCBI's taxonomy places the organism in Eukaryota, Viridiplantae, Streptophyta, Magnoliopsida, Myrtales, Myrtaceae.